AUUGAACGCUGGCGGCAUGCCUUACACAUGCAAGUCGAACGGCAGCACGGGUGCUUGCCCCUGGUGGCGAGUGGCGAACGGGUGAGUAAUACAUCGGAACAUGUCCUGUAGUGGGGGAUAGCCCGGCGAAAGCCGGAUUAAUACCGCAUACGAUCUACGGAUGAAAGCGGGGGACCUUCGGGCCUCGCGCUAUCGGGUUGGCCGAUGGCUGAUUAGCUAGUUGGUGGGGUAAAGGCCUACCAAGGCGACGAUCAGUAGCUGGUCUGAGAGGACGACCAGCCACACUGGGACUGAGACACGGCCCAGACUCCUACGGGAGGCAGCAGUGGGGAAUUUUGGACAAUGGGCGAGAGCCUGAUCCAGCAAUGCCGCGUGUGUGAAGAAGGCCUUCGGGUUGUAAAGCACUUUUGUCCGGAAAGAAAUCCUUGGCCCUAAUACGGUCGGGGGAUGACGGUACCGGAAGAAUAAGCACCGGCUAACUACGUG
RNAcentral lists this ribosomal RNA (486 nucleotides) under uncultured bacterium. Its description in RNAcentral is "partial 16S ribosomal RNA". It matches the Rfam family "Bacterial small subunit ribosomal RNA", at positions 30 to 507 of the family's 1533-position model. The record is from RNAcentral.